UACGGAGGAUCCAAGCGUUAUCCGGAAUCAUUGGGUUUAAAGGGUCCGUAGGCGGUUUUGUAAGUCAGUGGUGAAAGCCCAUCGCUCAACGGUGGAACGGCCAUUGAUACUGCAAGACUUGAAUUAUUGGGAAGUAACUAGAAUAUGUAGUGUAGCGGUGAAAUGCUUAGAGAUUACAUGGAAUACCAAUUGCGAAGGCAGGUUACUACCAACAUAUUGACGCUGAUGGACGAAAGCGUGGGGAGCGAACAGG
RNAcentral lists this ribosomal RNA (253 nucleotides) under uncultured bacterium. Its description in RNAcentral is "partial 16S ribosomal RNA". It matches the Rfam family "Bacterial small subunit ribosomal RNA", at positions 524 to 776 of the family's 1533-position model. The record is from RNAcentral.